Molecule: non-coding RNA, 85 nt
Organism: Mycena rosella
Lineage: Eukaryota; Fungi; Basidiomycota; Agaricomycetes; Agaricales; Mycenaceae
Source: the annotation of a GenBank genome assembly
GGCCUGAUGGUCUAGUAGUAUGAUUCCUUGUUAGGGUGUUUCACCAAUAUCGAGGAGGUCCUGGGUUCAAUUCCCAGUUAGGCCC